UUUCCGUAGGUGAACCUGCGGAAGGAUCAUUCAUAAUAAGUGUUUUAUGGCACUUUUUUAAAUCCAUAUCCACCUUGUGUGCAAUGUCAGGGUUGAUUUUUUUCUCGAGAGGAUCAGCCCCAAACAUCAACUAUAUCUCAACUCUUUGUCUGAAAAAUAUUAUGAAUAAAACAAUUCAAAAUACAACUUUCAACAACGGAUCUCUUGGCUCUC
RNAcentral lists this unclassified non-coding RNA (213 nucleotides) under plant metagenome. RNAcentral's name for it is "partial contains small subunit ribosomal RNA, internal transcribed spacer 1, and 5.8S ribosomal RNA". The record is from RNAcentral.